This 253-nucleotide ribosomal RNA is filed under the name uncultured bacterium. RNAcentral describes it as "partial 16S ribosomal RNA". It matches the Rfam family "Bacterial small subunit ribosomal RNA", at positions 524 to 776 of the family's 1533-position model. The record is from RNAcentral.
UACGUAGGCAGCGAGCGUUGUUCGGAGUUACUGGGCGUAAAGCGCACGUAGGCGGAUCGUUAAGUCGGGGGUGAAAUCCUGGAGCUCAACUCCAGAACUGCCUUCGAUACUGGCGAUCUUGAGUCCGGAAGAGGUGAGUGGAACUCCUAGUGUAGAGGUGGAAUUCGUAGAUAUUAGGAAGAACACCAGUGGCGAAGGCGGCUCACUGGUCCGGUACUGACGCUGAGGUGCGAAAGCGUGGGGAGCAAACAGG